GCAUUAUGCAAGUUUAUCGCCUCCGGAGUAUGUUCUCUGCAACCUGACACAUGUACUAUGUGGGAAGAUGGCCCAUUUCCUGUGCAGCAUUCCAACUGUGCUGUGUGAGAACAGGACAGGACAGGAUAGGUCCAGUGUGAUUCAGAGCCCUCAGAUUCAGCAACACCCAUUCCAGUAAAUUCUCACUUUCAAAUCCAGUGGCAAGCAAGGUCAGAGUCCCUGAAUGAAUAGAAAAGGAAUUCUUUUUAAGUGUCAUUGUUAAGUUACAAGCUGACAGUGGAAAACCAGCAACCACACCCAGACUUCCAGGAGUACUACGGAAGAUGAAAUGACCCUCCCCGCUCUCCCCUCUACGCUACUCGGAGACUUGUCUUCCCAACCCAGGAAGCUCGCUCCUCAGCCUUUAAGAAGAUAAACAAAAACAGCUGCU
Mus caroli (Ryukyu mouse) is the source of this 430-nucleotide non-coding RNA. The record is from RefSeq and is a predicted model, not a curated record. Lineage: Eukaryota; Metazoa; Chordata; Mammalia; Rodentia; Muridae.